UAGGAUUCUCAUUGAUGUCUCCAUAAACCUCAUCCCCAACCUUGAAUUUUUUCACUUCACUUCCCACUCUCACCACCACACCAGCAACAUCGUACCCAGGAACAGUCUUAAUUAAUUUCCAUCACCACAUACAAGAUUUAACAAUGCAAAACGAAAAAAGAACAAUAUAUCAUUAUAUGGGAGAAAAUGAAAAUUAAUAAGGUUUUAAAACCAUGUAUGCAAAGGAUUACAAAAAAUCAAAUCAAACCCUUACCGGCAAGGGAGAAUCGGUGUUCUUGAAAUAGCCAUGAGCCCUCUUAUAAUCUACAGGAUUAAGGGCUGCAGCAGCAACCUUAAUGAGCACCUCGUCUUCCUUGAUCUGUGGUAU
RNAcentral lists this long non-coding RNA (367 nucleotides) under Vigna radiata. Its description in RNAcentral is "long non-coding RNA (VRAD_LNC000026)". Lineage: Eukaryota; Viridiplantae; Streptophyta; Magnoliopsida; Fabales; Fabaceae. The record is from RNAcentral.